RNAcentral lists this long non-coding RNA (1175 nucleotides) under Homo sapiens (human). RNAcentral describes it as "HSALNT0112495". The record is from RNAcentral. Lineage: Eukaryota; Metazoa; Chordata; Mammalia; Primates; Hominidae.
AGAAGAAUAUAAUUGAUUUAUUACAUUGAUUUAUUACAAAUAUAAAUAUGUGAAAUCAAUGAUGUAAAUUGUGAAAAUUAUGUUAUGGUUUUUGUUUGUUCCACACGAGUGUAAACCUCACAAAUUUUUCAAGUGGAUUUUCAAACAUUUUAAACCCUAUACCUUUUUUCUCACAAAAACAUUUUAUUCAGAAUUAUGGAAAUUAGAACCAAUCACAGAUAGGACUACUUUAGCACAACCAAAACCACCCGUCUUGUCACCCUCACUUCUUAAGACCUCUUAAGGUCCGUAACGUUUCUUCAAGAUUCAUAAUAAAAUCAGAGCAAGCCCUGUAAUAUUGCUUCAGCAAAGCAUGACGUAUCAAUUGCACCAUCUGGGGAGAAACCUAUGUGGUCUUAUACAUGAAAUCUAUGCUAUUUCAAUUGAACUCCCACAGCUAACUUCACCCCAAUAUUUUAGCCACACUAAGACUAUGGGAAGGAACAAGCACUCAGAAAUGCAGGGUGGUCAGCCAAUUUGCAUAAUAUGAAUUCAAUAGGUUUAAAAUUUUUUAUUUAACAUUUAUUUAGAGAAGAAGCUGUUAGUCUCAUGGGGGCAGGGUAGGGUAGGUUAAAGCCAGUGAUGGGGCCUCAGCUCUGCUCUGCAAAACCUACUUUACAAAUUAAAGCUCCUCUUUUAAGUUGGACCCACCCUCUGACAGAGACAGUUUAAUGACCAUCUGUUUUUAUUCAAAAUACUCCUUGGGGGAAGGAGGCAUCUCACCUCACACUCCAAGCGGCUUAUCAAAGUAUUUCCUUCCAACCAAAGACAAACAUGUUCCCUGAGAAGAGAGCUGGUAGAUAUUUUCUUUCUUCAUUUUUUUACAUGUCCUGGAAUGGUUCAGCAACCUAAUAAUGUUUUAUCAAUCCUCGUGAGCACUUCUCUCAGAUCCUGGCUUUCAUGCAUGUCCGUGUGAAGAGACCACCAAACAGGCUUUGUGUGAGCAACAUGGCUGUUUAUUUCACCUGGGUGCAGGUGGGCUGAGUCCGAAGAGAGUCAGCGAAGGGAGAUAAGGGUGGAGCCAUUUCAUAGGAUUCGGGUAGGUAAAGGAAAAUUACAGUCAAAGAGGGUUUAUUCUCUGGCGGGCAGGAGUGGGGGUCACAAAGUGCUCUGUGGGGGUGCUUUUGAGCCAGGAU